CAACUAGGUAACACAACUAGGUAACACACAGGUAACACAACCAGGUAACACACAGGUAACACAACCAGGAAACACACAGGUAACACACAGUUAACACACAGGAAACACACAGGUAACACAACCAGGAAACACACAGGUAACACACAGGUAACACACAGGAAACACACAGGUAACACACAGGAAACACACAGGAAACACACAGUUAAAACACAGUUAACACACAGGAAACACACAGGUAACACAACCAGGUAACACACAGGUAACACAUCCAGGAAACACACAUGUAACACAACCAGGUAACACACAGGUAACACACAUGUAACACAACCAGGUAACACACAGUUUACACAACCAGGUAACACACAGGUAACACACAUGUAACACAACCAGGUAACACAGGUUACACAACCAGGUAACACACAGAUAACACAACCAGGUAACACAACCAUGUAACACACAGGUAACACAACCAGGUAACACACAGGUAACACACAGGUAGCACAUAGGUAACACACAUGUAACACAACAAGGUAACACACAGGUAGCACACACAGGUAACACAACCAGGUAACACACACAGGUAACACACAGGUAACACACACAGGUAACACAAUCAGGUAUCAACCAGGUAACACACCCAGGUAACACACAGGUAACACACAGGUAACACAACCAGGAAACACACAGUUAACACACAGUUAACACACAGGAAACACACAGGUAACACACAGUUAACACACAGGAAACACAAAGGUAACACAACCAGGUAACACACAGGUAACACAACCAGGAAACACACAGGUAACACACAUGUAACACAACCAGGUAACACACAGUUUACACAACCAGGUAACACACAGGUAACACACAUGUAACACAACCAGGUAACACAGGUUACACAACCAGGUAACACACAGAUAACACAACCAGGUAACACAACCAUGUAACACACAGGUAACACAACCAGGUAACACACAGGUAACACACAGUUAGCACAUAGGUAACACACAUGUAACACAACAAGGUAACACACAGGUAACACACACAGGUAACACAACCAGGUAACACACACAGGUAACACACACAGGUAACACAAUCAGGUAUCAACCAGGUAACACACCCAGGUAACACACAGGUAACACAAUCAGGUAACACACAGAUAACACAAUCAGGUAACACAACCAGGGAACACAACCAGGUAACACACAGGUAACACAAUCAGGUAACACAAUCAGGUAACACACAGAUAACACAGCCAGGUAACACAGGUAUCACACACAGGUAACACAAUCAGGUAACACAGGUAUCACACACAGGUAACACAAUCAGGUAACACACAGAUAACACAACCAGGUAACACAGGUGUCACACACAGGUAACACAACCAGGUAACACAAUCAGGUAACACACAGAUAACACAACCAGUUAACACAGGUAUCACACACAGAUAACACAACCAGGUAACACACAGGUAACACAACCAGGUAACACACAGGUAACACAACCAGGUAACACACAGGUAACACACAGGUAACACAACCAGGUAACACAACCAGGUAACACAAUCAGGUAACACACAGGUAACACACAGGUAACACAACCAGGUAACACACAGAUAACACAACCAGGUAACACAGGUAUCACACACAGGUAACACAAUCAGGUAACACACAGGUAACACAACCAGGUAACACACAGGUAACACAACCAGGUAACACACAGGUAACACAACCAGGUAACACACAGGUAACACACAGGUAACACAGCCAGGUAACACACAGGUAACACAACCAGGUAACACAAUCAGGUAACACAACCAGGUAACACACAGGUAACACACAGGUAACACAACCAGGUAACACACAGAUAACACAACCAGGUAACACAGGUAUCACACACAGGUAACACAAUUGGGUAAUACAACCAGGUAACACACAGGUAACACAACCAGGUAACACACAGGUAACACAACUACCUGUUACCUGGCUGUGUAGCAUAAGUAGUGAACUGGAGGAGGGUCUUCAUGGAUCAGAAGAUUCAUUUCAUAUUCAUAUUCCUUUUAAUAGAACAGAUUGUUUUACGUUCCUGAAGGAACCUUAAAGUUCAGAAUGACUUUCAUAAACCAGAACCAGGAACCAAUAAUUGUUCCUGGGACUCUGAAAUAUUCACACUAGGAUACAUCCCAUAAUACUGAUGGUCAGACUAGGAUACAUCCCAUAAUACUGAUGUUCACACUAGGAUACAUCCCAUAAUACUGAUGUUCACACUAGGAUACAUCCCAUAAUACUGAUGAUCACCAGGAAACAUCCCAUAAUACUGAUGAUCACUAGGAUACAUCCCAUAAUACUGAUGAUCACCAGGAUACAUCCCAUAAUACUGAUGAUCACUAGGAUACAUCCCGUAAUACUGAUGGUCACACUAGGAUACAUCCCAUAAUACUGAUGAUCACCAGGAUACAUCCCAUAAUACUGAUGAUCACUAGGAUACAUCCCAUAAUACUGAUGAUCACUAGGAUCCAUCCCAUAAUACUGAUGAUCACUAGGAUACAUCCCAUAAUACUGAUGGUCACUAGGACACAUCCCAUAAUACUGAUGAUCACACUAGGAUACAUCCCAUAAUACUGAUGAUCACUAGGAUACAUCCCAUAAUACUGAUGAUCACUAGGAUACAUCCCAUAAUACUGAUGAUCACCAGGAUACAUCCCAUAAUACUGAUGGUCACACUAGGAUACAUCCCAUAAUACUGAUGAUCACCAGGAUACAUCCCAUAAUACUGAUGAUCACUAGGAUACAUCCCAUAAUACUGAUGAUCACACUAGGAUACAUCCCAUAAUACUGAUGAUCACACCAGGAUACAUCCCAUAAUACUGAUGGUCACACUAGGAUACAUCCCAUAAUACUGAUGAUCACUAGGAUACAUCCCAUAAUACUGAUGAUCACUAGGAUACAUCCCAUAAUACUGAUGGUCACACUAGGAUACAUCCCAUAAUACUGAUGAUCACCAGGAUACAUCCCAUAAUACUGAUGAUCACACUAGGAUACAUCCCAUAAUACUGAUGGUCACUAGGAUACAUCCCAUAAUACUGAUGAUCACACUAGGAUACAUCCCAUAAUACUGAUGAUCACUAGGAUACAUCCCAUAAUACUGAUGAUCACCAGGAUACAUCCCAUAAUACUGAUGAUCACACCAGGAUACAUCCCAUAAUACUGAUGGUCACACUAGGAUACAUCCCAUAAUACUGAUGAUCACUAGGAUACAUCCCAUAAUACUGAUGAUCACUAGGAUACAUCCCAUAAUACUGAUGGUCACACUAGGAUACAUCCCAUAAUACUGAUGGUCACUAGGAUACAUCCCAUAAUACUGAUGAUCACACUAGGAUACAUCCCAUAAUACUGAUGGUCACUAGGAUACAUCCCAUAAUACUGAUGAUCACACUAGGAUACAUCCCAUAAUACUGAUGGUCACUAGGAUACAUCCCAUAAUACUGAUGAUCACACUAGGAUACAUCCCAUAAUACUGAUGGUCACUAGGAUACAUCCCAUAAUACUGAUGAUCACACUAGGAUACAUCCCAUAAUACUGAUGAUCACUAGGAUACAUCCCAUAAUACUGAUGAUCACUAGGAUACAUCCCAUAAUACUGAUGGUCACUAGGACACAUCCCAUAAUACUGAUGAUCACCAGGAUACAUCCCAUAAUACUGAUGAUCACUAGGAUACAUCCCAUAAUACUGAUGGUCACUAGGACACAUCCCAUAAUACUGAUGAUCACACUAGGAUACAUCCCAUAAUACUGAUGAUCACCAGGAUACAUCCCAUAAUACUGAUGGUCACUAGGAUACAUCCCAUAAUACUGAUGAUCACUAGGAUACAUCCCAUAAUACUGAUGAUCAGCAGGAUACAUCCCAUAAUACUGAUGAUCACUAGGAUACAUCCCAUAAUACUGAUGGUCACUAGGAUACAUCCCAUAAUACUGAUGAUCACACUAGGAUACAUCCCAUAAUACUGAUGGUCACUAGGAUACAUCCCAUAAUACUGAUGAUCACACUAGGAUACAUCCCAUAAUACUGAUGAUCACUAGGAUACAUCCCAUAAUACUGAUGAUCACUAGGAUACAUCCCAUAAUACUGAUGGUCACUAGGACACAUCCCAUAAUACUGAUGAUCACACUAGGAUACAUCCCAUAAUACUGAUGAUCACCAGGAUACAUCCCAUAAUACUGAUGAUCACCAGGAUACAUCCCAUAAUACUGAUGGUCACUAGGAUACAUCCCAUAAUACUGAUGAUCACACUAGGAUACAUCCCAUAAUACUGAUGAUCACUAGGAUACAUCCCAUAAUACUGAUGGUCACUAGGACACAUCCCAUAAUACUGAUGAUCACACUAGGAUACAUCCCAUAAUACUGAUGAUCACACUAGGAUACAUCCCAUAAUACUGAUGAUCACACUAGGAUACAUCCCAUAAUACUGAUGGUCACUAGGAUACAUCCCAUAAUACUGAUGAUCACUAGGAUACAUCCCAUAAUACUGAUGAUCACACUAGGAUACAUCCCAUAAUACUGAUGGUCACACUAGGAUACAUCCCAUAAUACUGAUGGUCACUAGGAUACAUCCCAUAAUACUGAUGAUCACUAGGAUACAUCCCAUAAUACUGAUGAUCACUAGGAUACAUCCCAUAAUACUGAUGGUCACUAGGACACAUCCCAUAAUACUGAUGAUCACACUAGGAUACAUCCCAUAAUACUGAUGGUCACUAGGAUACAUCCCAUAAUACUGAUGAUCACACUAGGAUACAUCCCAUAAUACUGAUGGUCACUAGGAUACAUCCCAUAAUACUGAUGAUCACUAGGAUACAUCCCAUAAUACUGAUGAUCACACUAGGAUACAUCCCAUAAUACUGAUGGUCACUAGGAUACAUCCCAUAAUACUGAUGAUCACUAGGAUACAUCCCAUAAUACUGAUGAUCACUAGGAUACAUCCCAUAAUACUGAUGGUCACUAGGACACAUCCCAUAAUACUGAUGAUCACACUAGGAUACAUCCCAUAAUACUGAUGAUCACCAGGAUACAUCCCAUAAUACUGAUGAUCACCAGGAUACAUCCCAUAAUACUGAUGAUCACUAGGAUACAUCCCAUAAUACUGAUGAUCACACUAGGAUACAUCCCAUAAUACUGAUGGUCACUAGGAUACAUCCCAUAAUACUGAUGAUCACUAGGAUACAUCCCAUAAUACUGAUGAUCACACUAGGAUACAUCCCAUAAUACUGAUGAUCACAGAAGGAUACAUCCCAUAAUACUGAUGAUCACCAGGAUACAUCCCAUAAUACUGAUGAUCACACUAGGAUACAUCCCAUAAUACUGAUGGUCACUAGGAUACAUCCCAUAAUACUGAUGAUCACUAGGAUACAUCCCAUAAUACUGAUGAUCACACUAGGAUACAUCCCAUAAUACUGAUGGUCACUAGGAUACAUCCCAUAAUACUGAUGAUCACUAGGAUACAUCCCAUAAUACUGAUGAUCACACUAGGAUACAUCCCAUAAUACUGAUGAUCACAGAAGGAUACAUCCCAUAAUACUGAUGGUCACACUAGGAUACAUCCCAUAAUACUGAUGGUCACUAGGAUACAUCCCAUAAUACUGAUGAUCACACUAGGAUACAUCCCAUAAUACUGAUGAUCACAGAAGGAUACAUCCCAUAAUACUGAUGAUCACCAGGAUACAUCCCAUAAUACUGAUGAUCACACUAGGAUACAUCCCAUAAUACUGAUGGUCACUAGGAUACAUCCCAUAAUACUGAUGAUCACUAGGAUACAUCCCAUAAUACUGAUGAUCACACUAGGAUACAUCCCAUAAUACUGAUGAUCACUAGGAUACAUCCCAUAAUACUGAUGAUCACUAGGAUACAUCCCAUAAUACUGAUGAUCACACUAGGAUACAUCCCAUAAUACUGAUGAUCACACUAGGAUACAUCCCAUAAUACUGAUGGUCACUAGGAUACAUCCCAUAAUACUGAUGAUCACACUAGGAUACAUCCCAUAAUACUGAUGGUCACUAGGACACAUCCCAUAAUACUGAUGAUCACACUAGGAUACAUCCCAUAAUACUGAUGGUCACUAGGAUACAUCCCAUAAUACUGAUGAUCACACUAGGAUACAUCCCAUAAUACUGAUGAUCACAGAAGGAUACAUCCCAUAAUACUGAUGGUCACUAGGAUACAUCCCAUAAUACUGAUGAUCACACUAGGAUACAUCCCAUAAUACUGAUGGUCAC
This is a long non-coding RNA of Acanthochromis polyacanthus (spiny chromis), 6265 nucleotides long. RefSeq lists it as uncharacterized. NCBI's taxonomy places the organism in Eukaryota, Metazoa, Chordata, Actinopteri, Pomacentridae. The transcript has 2 exons. The record is from RefSeq and is a predicted model, not a curated record.